Molecule: ribosomal RNA, 494 nt
Filed under: uncultured bacterium
Lineage: Bacteria
Description: partial 16S ribosomal RNA
Rfam family: Bacterial small subunit ribosomal RNA
Source: RNAcentral
GACGAACGCUGGCGGCGUGCUUAACACAUGCAAGUCGAACGGUGAAGCGCCUUUCUUUUUGGUGGGUGUGGAUGAGUGGCGAUCGGGUGAGUAACACGUGAGUAACCUGCCCCCUUCUUCCGGAUAACCGCAUGAAAGUGUGGCUAAUACGGGAUAUUCUGGGUCUGUCGCAUGAUGGGUCUGGGACAGAUAUUGUUUCGGUGGGGGAUGGGCUCGCGACCUAGUAGCUUGUUGGUGGGGUGAUGGCCUACCAAGGCGGUGACAGGUAGGCGGCCUGUGAGGGUAGACGGCCAAACUAAGAGUGAAGCGCGGCCAAGAGUACUAGGGGAAGCAGCGGUGGGGAAUAUUGCACGGUGGGCGCAAGCAUGAUGCAGCGACGCCGCGUGGGAGAUGGAGGCCUUCGGGUUGUGAACCUCUUUCGCUAGUGAAGCAGGCCUGCCUAGUUUGUAGGUGGGUUGACGGUAGCUGGAUAAGAAGCGCCGGCUAACUACGUG